UACGGAGGGUGCUAGCGUUGUUCGGAAUUACUGGGCGUAAAGGGCGCGUAGGCGGCCGUUUGCGUCGGAUGUGAAAGCCCGGGGCUCAACCUCGGAACGGUCAAGUGAUACUGUCGGACUAGAGUACAGAAGGGGCAACUGGAAUUCUCGGUGUAGCGGUGAAAUGCGUAGAUAUCGAGAGGAACACCUGCGGCGAAGGCGGGUUGCUGGGCUGAUACUGACGCUGAGGCGCGAAAGCCAGGGGAGCGAACGGG
RNAcentral lists this ribosomal RNA (254 nucleotides) under uncultured bacterium. RNAcentral describes it as "partial 16S ribosomal RNA". It matches the Rfam family "Bacterial small subunit ribosomal RNA", at positions 524 to 776 of the family's 1533-position model. The record is from RNAcentral.